RNAcentral lists this ribosomal RNA (411 nucleotides) under uncultured eukaryote. RNAcentral describes it as "bacterial SSU rRNA". It matches the Rfam family "Eukaryotic small subunit ribosomal RNA", at positions 592 to 1018 of the family's 1831-position model. The record is from RNAcentral.
CAAUAGCGUAUACUAAUGUUGUUGCAGUUAAAAAGCUCGUAGUCGGAUUUCAGUAAUCUUAUACAAUUUCUUUAAUGAUUUUGUAUAAAUUUACUUUAUGACAGAAACGUUUAUAUCAUUUAUUUGAUAUAAUUUGGGACUGUCUCAUUUACUUUGAGAAAAUUAGAGUGUUCAAAGCAGGUCUCUGCCGGAAUAUUACUCUUGGAAUAAUAAUAUAGAACUUCAGUUUUAGUUUGUUGGUGAUCUAAGACCGGAGUAAUGAUCGAUAGGGACGGUUGGGGUCAUUCAUACUGCAAAGCGAGAGGUGAAAUUUUGGACCUUUGUAAGAUGAACAACUGCGAAAGCAUUUGACUAGGACAUUCCCGUUGAUCAAGAACGAAAGUUGGGGGAUCAAAGACGAUCAGAUACCAU